RNAcentral lists this small RNA (497 nucleotides) under Cryptococcus neoformans H99. Its description in RNAcentral is "Cryptococcus neoformans var. grubii H99 hypothetical RNA". The record is from RNAcentral. Lineage: Eukaryota; Fungi; Basidiomycota; Tremellomycetes; Tremellales; Cryptococcaceae.
GUUUCUUGCUCGCCUCUUUAUGCGUUGGGCGUUCUGGUUGCUCUUUUUUAGCGCUUUGCGCGUUUUCUGUUUUGUGCUUGCUACAAAAAUCCACAAAGUGAGGCGGGUCUCAUCAUCAAAUACAGUGGAGCGCAUAGAGGCUGCCUUGUAAAGGUGGUGGAGCAUCAUAGACCAUGGAGCGGAGGAGCAUGAAACACAAAAUACUGCGAAAUUUAGGGACUCGGAUUUAGUUUUAGUGUGGCGUGUAUGCGGCCCGAAAUGAAGGAACAAGGGACAAAACGCAAGUACGCGUACCGUUCCUUGAAAUCUUUUAGUUCUUAGUCAUUUUUGAUCGUGUCGUGCUUAGAUGUGUAUCUACGUAUGGGUGCUUGAUACUUGACAUGUUGACAUGCUUGACUGUCGUACAAACUACAGGUAAUAGACAGGUAGUAUAAAGGAGUUCUGCAGUUGGGGCUUCUCUCCUUCUAAGUUCUUCUCUUUUGAUGCACAGUUUUCGG